Molecule: ribosomal RNA, 91 nt
Filed under: Lilium callosum
Lineage: Eukaryota; Viridiplantae; Streptophyta; Magnoliopsida; Liliales; Liliaceae
Also listed under: 10 other names
Source: RNAcentral
GGAUCCCAUCAGAACUCCGAAGUUAAGCGUGCUUGGGCGAGAGUAGUACUAGGAUGGGUGACCUCCUGGGAAGUCCUCGUGUUGCACCCCC